RNAcentral lists this ribosomal RNA (935 nucleotides) under uncultured bacterium. RNAcentral describes it as "bacterial SSU rRNA". It matches the Rfam family "Bacterial small subunit ribosomal RNA", at positions 54 to 997 of the family's 1533-position model. The record is from RNAcentral.
CAUGCAAGUCGAACGGUGACCUCGAAGCUUGCUUUGAGUGAUCAGUGGCGAACGGGUGAGUAACACGUGAGCAACCUGCCCUUGACUCUGGGAUAACAGCUGGAAACAGCUGCUAAUACCGGAUACGACCUCGACCGACAUCAGUUGAGGUGGAAAGCUCCGGCGGUCAAGGAUGGGCUCGCGGCCUAUCAGCUAGUUGGUGAGGUAACGGCUCACCAAGGCUUCGACGGGUAGCCGGCCUGAGAGGGCGACCGGCCACACUGGGACUGAGAUACGGCCCAGACUCCUACGGGAGGCAGCAGUGGGGAAUAUUGCACAAUGGGCGCAAGCCUGAUGCAGCAACGCCGCGUGCGGGAUGACGGCCUUCGGGUUGUAAACCGCUUUCAGCUCCGACGAAGCGCAAGUGACGGUAGGAGCAGAAGAAGGACCGGCCAACUACGUGCCAGCAGCCGCGGUGAUACGUAGGGUCCGAGCGUUGUCCGGAAUUAUUGGGCGUAAAGGGCUUGUAGGCGGUUUGUCGCGUCGGAAGUGAAAACUCAGGGCUCAACCCUGAGCCUGCUUCCGAUACGGGCAAACUAGAGGGAUGCAGGGGAGAAUGGAAUUCCUGGUGGAGCGGUGGAAUGCGCAGAUAUCAGGAGGAACACCAGUGGCGAAGGCGGUUCUCUGGGCAUUACCUGACGCUGAGAAGCGAAAGCGUGGGGAGCAAACAGGCUUAGAUACCCUGGUAGUCCACGCCGUAAACGGUGGGCACUAGGUGUGGGACUCAUUCCACGAGUUCCGUGCCGUAGCUAACGCAUUAAGUGCCCCGCCUGGGGAGUACGGCCGCAAGGCUAAAACUCAAAGGAAUUGACGGGGGCCCGCACAAGCGGCGGAGCAUGCGGAUUAAUUCGAUGCAACGCGAAGAACCUUACCUGGGUUUGACAUAUACCGGAAAG